CCAGUCGUGUCAACAGGCCGAUAGCGGAUAACUGGAGGAGUGUGGAUAAAAAAAAUCGGGCGACUUGAAUUUCGCUUUGAUGUUAGAUUAGAGCGAAGUGGGGAGUUACAAAGCGACUAUUUCGCUCAAGUCGCUCCCUAGCUCAAGCCCUGCUUCUGAAAUUGUAUUUUAUGGCAGAAGAGAUGCACUUGUAUUCAUUUCUUUAUGUAUGUAUUAUGCCUCUCUAGAGGCCAUAAUUUUCAAUGGAUCUUCAUGAAAAUUGGUCAAAAUGGUCACCUUGAUAAUAUCUAGGCCAAGAUCGAAACUGGGUCACGUGCUGUCAAAAACUAGGUCAGUAGGUCUAAAAAUAGAAAAACCUUGUGACCUCUCUAGAGGCCAUAUAUUUCACAAAAUCUUCAUGAAAAUUGGUCAGAAUGUUCACCUUGAUUAUAUCUAGGUCAAGUUCGAAACUGGGUCAUGUGCCGUCAAAAACUAGGUCAGGAGGUCUAAAAAUAGAAAAACCUUGUGACCUCUCUAGAGGCCAUAUAUUACACAAGAUCUUCAUGAAAAUUGGUCAGAAUGUUCACCUUGAUGAUAUCUAGGUCAGGUUCGAAAUUGGGUCACUAGCGGUCAAAAACUAGGUCAGUAGGUCUAAAAAUAGAAAAACCUUGUGACCUUUCUAGAGGCCAUAUAUUUCACAAGAUCUUCAUGAAAAUUGGUCAGAAGUUCACCUUGAUGAUAUCUAGGUCAAGUUCGAAACUGGGUCACGUGCCAUCAAAAACUAGGUCAGUAGGUCAAAUAAUAGAAAAACCUUGUGUCUUCUCUAAAGGCCAUAUUUUUCAUGGGAUCUGUAUGAAAGUUGGUCUGAAUGUUCAUCUUGAUGAUAUCUAGGUCAAGAUCGAAACUGGGUCACGUGCGGUCAAAAACUAGGUCAGUAGAUCUAAAAAUAGAAAAACCUUGUGACCUCUCUAGAGGCCAUAUAUUUCAUGAAAUCUUCAUGAAAAUUGGUCAGAAUGUUCAUCUUGAUGAUAUCUAAGUCAAGUUCGAAAGUGGGUCACGUGCCCUCAAAAACUAGGUCAGUGGGUCAAAUAAUAGAAAAACUUUGUGACCUCUCUAGAGGCCAUAUUUUCCAUGGGAUCUGUAUGAAAAUUGGUCUGAAUGUUCAUCUUGAUGAUACCUAGGUCAAGUUUGAAAGUGGGUCACGUGCCUUCAAAAACUAGGUCAGUAGGUCAAAUAAUAGAAAAACCUUGUGACCUCUCUAAAGGCCAUAUUUUUCAAUGGAUCUUCAUGAAAGUUGGUCUGAAUGUUCAUCUUGGUGAUAUCUAGGUCAAGUUCGAAACAGGGUCAUGUGCGGUCAAAAACUAGGUCAGUAGGUCUAAAAAUAGAAAAACCUUGUGACCUCUCUAGUGGCCAUACUUGUGAAUGGAUCUCCAUAAAAAUUGGUCAGAAUGUUCAUCUUGAUGAUAUCUAGGUCAAGUUCGAAAGUGGGUCACGUGCCAUUAAAAAGUAGGUCAGUAGGUCAAAUAGUGAAAAAACGUUGUGACCUCUCUAGAGGCCAUAUUUUUCAUGGGAUCUGUAUGAAAGUUGGUCUGAAUGUUUAUCUUGAUGAUAUCUAGGUCAAGUUUGAAACUGGGUCAACUGCGAUCAAAAACUAGGUCAGUAGGUCUUGAAAUAGAAAAACCUUGUGACCUCUCUAGAGGCCAUACCCUUGAAUGGAUCUUCAUGAAAAUUGGUCAAAUUGUUCACCUUGAUGAUAUCUAGGUCAAGUUUGAAACUGGGUCACUUGCCUUAAAAAACUAGGUCAAUAGGUCAAAUAAUAGAAAAACCUUGUGACCUCUCUAGGAUCUUCAUGAAAAUUGGUCAGAAUUUUUAUCUUGAUAAUAUCUUGGUCAAGUUCAAAACUGGGUCACAUGAGCUCAAAAACUAGGUCACUAUGUCAAAUAAUAGAAAAAACGACGUCAUACUCAAAACUGGAUCAUGUGGAAAGAGGUGAGCGAUUCAGGACCAUCAUGGUCCUCUUGUUUUGUUGUUUUUUAGCUUUAUAAUUUCAUAUUGAGGAUUAACCUUGACAUAAUUCAUUAAGUUGAGUGAGUUAUUUGAGUGCUUCAGAAUCUGUUGUUACAUACCAACAUACUCAGAAUAAUAGAUGUCCCUUUACCUUCUGAUUGUCUAACUGAAAACAAAAUUCAUCAGUAUGUGUUUGAAACUUGACUAUCACCAUUUGCACUGCUUAAUAUUCUUGUUUUCAUUGAAUUAUGGCUUUGAGACUUUGUACAUAGUUACAUGUAUGUUAAGACCGGCUUUAGGAGAAAGUACCAUAAAUAAUCUUUUAUUUGGAUUAUGGUCCUUUUCUGCACUCUGCUUUCUUUAGUACCUAACAUUGUUGAGUAAGACCACAUAUCUAGAAUACUAAUUGAGUAAUAUCCUGUAAUUUGAAGCACUUCUACAUUAAGAUAAACAAGAACUGUAAAAGUACAUUAUACCAUAUUUUUGUUAUGUUUUAUAAGGACUGUUAUUGAGAUUCAAACAUGUAUCAAUAAAUUGAGUUUGGUCAUUAGUUGAAACAAAUAUCCUCAGUGUAAGUCAUCCCCCAAAAGGUAUUUUUAGCUCACCUGUCACAAAGUGACAAGGUGAGCUUUUGUGAUCGCGCGGUGUCCGUCGUCCGUCCGUGUGUCUGUGCGUGCGUGCGUCCGUGCGUCCGUCCGUAAACUUUUGCUUGUGACCACUCUAGAGGUCACAUUUUUCAUGGGAUCUUUACGAAAGUUAGUCAGAAUGUUCAUCUUGAUGAUAUCUAGGUCAAGUUCGAAACUGGGUCAAGUGCCUUCAAAAACUAGGUCAGUAGGUCUAAAAAUAGAAAAACCUUGUGACCUCUCUAGAGGCCAUAUAUUUCACAAGAUCUUCAUGAAAAUUUGUCAGAAUGUUCACCUUGAUGAUAUCUAGGUCAAGUUCGAAACUGGGUCACAUGCAGUCAAAAACUAGGUCAGUAGGUCUAAAAAUAGAAAAACCUUGUGACCUCGCUAGAGGCCAUAUAUUUCACAAGAUCUUCAUGAAAAUUGGUCAGAACGUUCAUCUUGAUGAUAUCUAGGUCAAGUUCUAAACUGGGUCAGGUGCCGUCAAAAACUAGGUCAGUAGGUCAAAUAAUAGAAAAACCUUGUGACCUCUCUAAAGGCCAUAUUUUUCAUGGGAUCUGUAUGAAAGUUGGUCUGAAUGUUCAUCUUGAUGAUAUCUAGGUCUAGUUCAAAACUGGGUCACGUGCCUUCAAAAACUAGGUCAGUAGGUCUAAAAAUAGAAAAACCUUGGGACCUCUCUAGAGGCCAUAUAUUUCAUGAGAUCUUCAUGAAAAUUGGUCAGAAUGUUCACCUUGAUGAUAUCUAGGUCAAGUUCGAAAGUGGGUCAAGUGCCCUCAAAAACUAGGUCAGUAGGUCAAAUGAUAGAAAAACCUUGUGACCUCUCUAGAGGCCAUAUUUUUCAUGGGAUCUGUAUGAAGGUUGGUCUGAAUGUUCAUCUUGAUGAUAUCUAGGUCAGUUUCGAAAGUGGGUCACGUGCCGUCAAAAAUUAGGUCAGUAGGUCAAAUAAUAGAAAAACCUUGUGACCUCUCUAAAGGCCAUAUUUUUCAUGGGAUCUGUAUGAAAGUUGGUCUGAAUGUUCAUCUUGAUGAUAUCUAGGUCAGGUUCGAAACAAGGUCAUGUGCGGUCAAAAACUAGGUCAGUAGGUCUAAAAAUAGAAAAACCUUGUGACCUCUCUAGAGGCCAUACUUGUGAAUGGAUCUCCAUAAAAAUUGGUCAGAAUGUUCACCUUGAUGAUAUCUAGGUCAAAUUUGAAACUGGGUCACGUGCCUUAAAAAACUAGGUCAGUAGGUCAGAUAAUAAAAAAACCUUGUGACCUCUCUAGAGGCCAUACUUUUCAUGGGAUCUGUAUGAAAGUUGGUCUGAAUGUUCACCUUGAUGAUAACUAGGUCAACUUUGAAACUGGGUCAACUGCGGUCAAAAACUAGGUCAGUAGGUCUAAAAUUAGAAAAAUCUUUUGACCUCUGUAGAGGCCAUAUUUUUCAAUGGAUCUUCAUGAAAAUUGAUCUGAAUGUUCACCUUGAUGAUAUGUAGGUCAGUUUCGAAACUGGGUCACGUGCGGUCAAAAACUAGGCCAGUAGGUAUAAAAAUAGAAAAACCUUGUGACCUCUCUAGAGGCCAUAUUUUUCAUCAGAUCUUCAUGAAAAUUAGUGAGAAUGUUCACCUUGAUGAUAUCACGUAAAAUUCAAAACAGGGUCACGUACCUUCGAAAACUAGGUGAAUAGGUCAAAUAAUAGAAAAACCUUUUGACCUCUCUAGAAACCAUAUUUUUCAAUGGAUCUUCUUGAAAAUUGGUCAGAAUUUUUAUCUUGAUAAUAUCUAGGUCAAGUUCAAAACUGGGUCACAUGAGCUCAAAAACUAGGUCACUAUGUCAAAUAAUAGAAAAACCGACUUCAUACUCAAAACUGGGUCAUGUGGGAAGAGGUGAGCGAUUCAGGACCAUCAUAGUCCUCUUGUUUGAAGUUUAAUAUCAGAAGAAGUGACUGUAUGUAUUCUAAAAUGUAUGAUUAGCUUGACGAGCAUUUUAAAUUUCACAUAAUUGUAUGUGGUGUAAACAAAACUUCUUUAUCAAGUUCUUCCUAGAAUUUUCUAAUUAAUUUUGAUGCUUGGAAAAUAUAAAUGUUGUAUGAUUAUUAGAAUACACUUUGCUUUCAAAGCAUCUUGUCAUGGAUUUUUUUAUGAGUCUGUCCCAGUAAACAGAGCAACAGCCGAUUCAUUUAAUAUGUAAAUUUUGAUAUUGAUGAAUUUAUUUAUUAUGAUAUAAUCAUUUAAGCAAAUGCUACGAAAUUUCAUGCCCACAAAAUUAAUUGUUUUACAGUAUAAUGUAGGAUGGUAGUAAUUCUCACUCGCUGAAUGUACAUUUGCAUUGACUGAACGCUAUCAAAUCUAGGUUAAGACUUUAGUCAGUAUAUUAUACACUUGAUGUGUACAUACAUCCAAUAGGUGAGACUGUAGUGUUUGCAUAUAAUGUAUAAUUAUCAGUUCUAUCAGCGAUGGACCUUUAUUGUUAUUUUCACUUAUAUUCUUGUGCUAUCGUUACAGUAUUAUAAAUAUUAUAAUAUGGUUAAAAAUAUAUAGUCUAAGAGGUUAUUUUUAUGCAUGCAUAUAGUUAUACUGUUAUAUUAUUUGCAAGUGUUCUAUGAAAUAGAUGUUCUGUACCUUUAAGAAGGGUUAAGAAGCUUGCAUGCUUUGAUGUAUCAAAGGAGCACCUGUGUUAUACAUGUUUGUCCACAAACAGUUGAUUGUAAUACAGAGGUUAAGAUCUAGACUUGACACUUAGUCUAGACUGAUAAAAAAGAUAUAACUGAAAAAAUUUAUUUACCCCUCUUUAAGUUCAGUAAGUAUCUUACUACAUUAAAAUGUACAUGGUUUUUACUCCAAAAUAAGAUAACAUAAAAGUGUUUUGUGAAUGUAUAAAUCUAAAUUUUGUUAGCUUUUCCAUUUUCAGUUUUGGAAACUGAAACAUUUAUUAUGCCCCUAGACAAAAAGUGUAUGGUGGCUCAUAUUGGAGUCAUGCAUGUCCGUCUGUCUGUCUGCCGGUAAUUUGUGUCUGUUCCUUAUCUUCAUCUUCUAAACCUUUGGGAAGAUUUUCAUUAAACUAGCGUCAAUUCUUUACCUCAUCAAGAUGAUGUGCAAAGAGCACAACCCAGGUCUAUAGGUCUAAGUUUGGUGUCAAAUAGCUUAACUUCAUAUCCAUAUCCACUCUGUAUUGUCUAAACUGCUUGAUAUAUUUUCAUAAAACUAGCAUCAGUAGUCUGUCUCAUCAAAAUGACAUGCAGAGCACAUAACACAGGUCACUCAGUCCAGGUGUAAGAUAAUAUGUACGUUCGGUAUCUUCUUAACCGGGAUAAUGAUAAAACUAGGCAAAUAUUCAUUCAUUGAAUCUCAUCAUGGGGAUGUGCAUAGUGUACAACACUGGUCAAGAUAAAACAUGAAAGACAAAGUUUAGGAUCACAACAUUUUAUUUUUCCUGUAUCAGAGGGGUGUCUGAGGGUGUUAAUAGUACUUAGUGAUAAUGUAGUUCUUGUACAUCUUCUGGAUUUUGUGAACCCCUCUCAACCAGGCUGGUCCUUUAUUUAGGAAAAUUUCUAUUACGAUGGAUUUCUUUGUUUACGGGGUAUAUUUAGGUCAGCUGAUAAUAAAUGAAACAGUCUGGAACCAAAACAUUUACACAGAUCAGAGAAUUUCCAUAUUUUGAAGGUGUUUUGGAGUAUAUGCUUAAUCUUACUAUUGUUUGAAAUUUUGAAAAUAUUAAUUUCUUACGCUUGAUUGAUGCACAAGGAGACCUAUAAGGUCUGACCACUUGGUUUUGCUGUAUCUCUUUGAUUCCAGCAGGUAUAAAAGUUUUUAUUUCACUCCUCAUAUUUAUAUUUAGAUGUAAAUGAGGUUUGAAGCCAAAAUUUUUAGUCCUGUUUGGUGUUGUGUUACCAGUGCUGUGUGGAUGGGUCAUAAAGUGCAGAUCAAUUCAGAUCAUACCAUUUUUGUUGCAAACACUUCUCAAGUGCAUUUGAACUUGAAUUAUAAUAAUGUUAUACCUGACCCAGGUUUCAUUUAUAUUGUUUAAGAUAAUUUCAUAUCAUACAUCUCUGUAACAUUGUGGUUUUCCUCCACUUAAUGUUGUAACUUGGAUAUUAAUGUAUGAUUUGCAGGAGAUCUGGAGUGGUUUCAAGUGUUUGGAGGAUAAACUUAACUGUAAAUUUGACAUGUAGAUAUUGUACAGUUAAAAUGAUUUACAAUUCUCUCAAGGUUCACUUGAUUUCCUGCAUCUAGUGUUAGUUUGGAACACGCUGAUUUGCACCAAAGAAUCAAGCGGCCGAUACCUAACAACUUGAUAAAACACUGAUUUUUUCAUAUUUUACAGACUGCAUGACAUAAAUACACACUGUUUAGAACUUGCUGAAUGGCAAUGUUUUCUACAACAAUUUAUCAAUGUAAACAAAACAAAGUCAGGAUGCGUGCUCCUUUCUUUAAUUGAUUUAUUAGCUCACCUGUCACAUACUGACAGGGUGAGCUUUUGUGAUCACCCUUCGUCCGUCUUCCGUCCGUCCACAAUUUCCUUGUGAACACGAUAGAGACCACAUUUUGUAUUUGAUUUUAAUCAAACUUGCACUCAGCUUGUACGGGCAUAAUAUCUCGGUUCCUUUCGAAAACUGGCCAGAUCCCAUCAUAGGUUCCAGAGUUAUGGCCCCUUAAAGGGCCAAAAUUUGCUAUAUUUGGCUUGUGAACACGAUAGAGACAACAUUUUGCAAUCAACUUUAAUCACACUUGCACAAAACUUGUAUUGGCAUAAUAUCUCGGUUCCUUUUGAAAACUGGCCAGAUCCUAUCAUGGGUUCCAGAGUUAUGGCCCCUUAAAGGGCCAGCCCCAUGUGGUUCUGGGACGAUCUGUGUAUGAAAAGAAUUGGAACCACUGCCUUACCCUUGCAUGAUCGUAAGAGGCGACUAAUAAUGUCUUAACACUUGGUUUUGCUGUAACUCUGUGAUUCCAGCAGGUAUGCAAAUUUUGAUUCCAUACCUCAUGUUUUUAUUUCGAUUUAAAUGAGAUGUGAAACCAAAAUUUGUAGUCCUGUUUGGCGCCAUAUAACCUAUACUGUGUUGGUGGGCUGUAAAACCCAGAUAAAAUAAAACUUAAAGAGCCGAAAUUUGCUAUUUUUGGCUUGUGCAGUCAUAUAGAGACUUCAUUUAUGGUUUGAUAUGAUACAAACUUGCAAAAUAUCUUCAACAACAAUAAAUUUUGGAUUCCAUGAUGAAUCUGUCAGAUCCAGUCAAAGGUUCUGAAGUUAUUUUAUAUCUGAUUACCUCCCCUGAUUUCAAUCAAAAUGAGUUUGUAUCAGUAAGUACUUAUAGGACUCAUUUGAAAUUUCAUUAUAUCAUUAAUUGGACUCAGACAAUCGGGGUAGAUAACUAUGGACUGAUUUUAUGUUAAAUUACCUCCAUUUAUUUCAAAUUAAAAUGGAUAUAUCUCCGUAACUAAUGAAGAUACUGAUCUGAAAUUUCAUUUAUGCCAUCAGAUGGACUUUAACAAUCAGUGAAGAUACAUAUUGACUGAAUUUAUGACAAAUUACCUCCCUUUAUCUUUUAUGUAAAUGAAUAUACCUACCAGCUUCUAAUGAGAUUUGUUUGAAACAUUAUUUAUGUCUUCCAUGGUAAGAAAUUUCUACUUUUACUUACAUUUCUAAUAUAUUGUUGUAAAGGCUUGUACUCUGUAUCUUCUACAUGCAUAUACCAAUGCAUGAUUACCUCCCCUGAUUUUAAUAAAAAUGGAUUUAUCACAGUAAGUAUUUAUACGACUUAUUUGAAAUUUCAUUAUUGUCAUUAGUUGGACUGAGACAAUCAGGGUAGAUAACUAUGGACUGAUUUAUGUCAAAUUACCUCCCUUUGUUUCAAAUUAAAAUGGGUGUAUCUCAGUAACCAAUGAAGAUACGGAUUUGAAAUGUCAUUUAUGCCAUCAAAUGGACUCAGACAAUCAGUAUUGAUAACUUUUGACUGAAUUUAUGACAAAUUACCUCCCUUUAUUUUAUGGAAAUUAAUAUACCUCAGCAGCAUCUAAUGAGAUUGGUUUUAAAUGUUAUUUAAGUCUUUCAGGGUAAGGAAUAGUCAUGCUAGUACAAAAAUGCAGCAUUUGAGCCAAGAAUCCUCAAUCUUGGUAUGGAGAUUGGCUAUGGCUAGUAUGUGACCUAUAGGUCAAAAGGGACUGUUGCAAGAAAAUAUUUAUCCUGAUUAUAUUUAAAGUGUAUGCCUAUGUGAUCUAUGUCAAAACUUGAUCUUAUUAUUAAGAGCAAUGGUACUCAGGUGAGCGAUAUAGGGCCAUCAUGGCCCUCUUGUUGAUUUAUUGAUCAUUUUCAUUGUUAUUGUUUUUUUUGUUUUUUUCAUUACAUUAUAUAUUGCUAACAGAAUUGUAAGCUUUUAAAACAAUGUGAUUUUUGCAUAUGUUUCUUUACCUUCAGUUAAUACACAGAAUUAUGGUUGUCUUCAUUAAAGAGAAUUCCGAUAUUUUUUUUCCUUUCAUAGAAUUUUUUUUAAUUCAUAUAUAUGAUAGGAAAAUGUGUGCUGAAAACAAUGAACAAAUAAAAAUAAUAUGUCACCAGGCUUGUUUUUGUGAAAAAUUGCUUUGAACACACCCACUGUUGCUGAAACUGCCAGCGAUUUUUGAACAUUUUCAUAAUUUUCUGCUUUUUUAUAAAUACCAACCAAAAUAUACAUCCAGGCAGCACAAUACGGUUUUUUUCUUAUUACAGAUUUUAUCAUAUAUUUACUUGAUAUCAUAGUCAUAUCUGUAAUACUCUAUCCUUACAAAGAUGGGUACAAAUGAAAAAAAAUGUUGUUUCAUAUUCACUUUUGUGAACUUUUUUCAAUGAAAAAUACCCAUAGUGAAGAAUAUUUUUUUAAAUUUUGAAAAAACUCUUUCAUAGAAUUUUUUCCUUUUUUUCUUGUGUAUAGAUAAUUGUAUUGUGAGCAUAAAAAGGGCUAAAAAUGUAUGGGUCACCAGGCUAUUUUUAGCUCAUCUGAUUUUUUGAAAAAAAAUGAUGAGUUAUUGUCAUCACUUGAGCGGUUGUCGGCGUCGGCGUCGGCGUCUGCGUCGGCGUUGCCUGGUUAAGUUUUAUGUUUAGGUCAGCUUUUCUCCUAAACUAUCAAAGCUAUUGCUUUGAAACUUGGAAUACUUGUUCACCAUUAUAAGCUGACCCUGUAUAGCAAGAAACAUAACUCCAUCUUGCUUUUUGCAAGAUUUAUGGCCCCUUUUGGACUUAGAAAAUAUCAGAUUUCUUGGUUAAGUUUUAUGUUUAGGUCAACUUUUUCUCUUAAACUAUCAAAGAUAUUGCUUUGAAACUUGCAACACUUGUUCACCAUCAUAAGCUGACCCUGUACAGCAAGCAACAUAACUCCAUCCUGCUUUUUGCAAUAAUUAUUGCCCCUUUGGACUUAGAAAAUCAUUUUCUUGGUUGAGUAUUAUGUUUAAGUCAACUUUUCUCAUAAACUAUCAAAGCUAUUGCUUUAAAACUUGCAACAGUUUUUCACCAUCAUAAGUGGACACUGUACAUCAAGAAACAUAACUCUAUCCUGCUUUUUGCAAGAAUGAUGGCCCUUUUUAGACUUAGAAAAUCAUGGGUAGGACAAUAUUUCUAUUACACUAAAAAAAAUCAGAUGAGCGUCAGCACCCGCAAGGCGGUGCUCUUGUUUAUGUUAAGACCGCUAGAAUACAAACACUUGUUCGGACGGAAAUGGCGCGAACCUGCCCAAAUUGAUUACAUGUGUCUGCUAAAAGUUUUAAAAAAGUUUUAAAAAUUCUUAAUUCUUUCUAUAAUUGCAUACUAAAUAAUCUGAAAGGUGAUAUUGUCUUAUCAGUACUAAGUCAAUUAUCUUACAUUAUAUGAAAAACACUGUCUUUAUACUAAAAUGCGAUGUGAAAACACAACCACAAAAAUAGCAAGAUACCUGUCAGGCAUGAUACUUGUCAAUACAACAUAAACCAGUAUCAACAUUUGAUUACUGAUAUAACUUAUCAAAAAUGUUAUUUCAUUCAAGAUUCCUCAUAUUUAAGAUUGUCUGUAACAUGUUUCAACAAAUGUUGACUUUAGUUCAGUUUUCCAUAGAAAGUGUCGGCUGCGCAGAAAGAUGCGCAUUAAAAACUAUAGGAAUUCCCUUUAACAUGUUAAGAUUUUGUAAAGAAUAUUUGACAGUGUCAAAAUUGUUAUGCCUCAAGUUGUGGAAUUACUGUUAAAUCCACCUUUUCUGAAGAGAGAGUUUUCCAGUGUUGUAUUGUACUGUUUGUAUUGUAUCAUUGUACAGCACUCCAAAGGUGAUAAUAGGAACUUUUUAAAUUUUCAAAAUAUUUCAAUUAGUUUUGAAUAUAUUAGCAGAAAACAAUUUUGAUAUGUAUUUCUGUCAUUUUGGACCCAAAAAACAUUAUCUUUUAGUAAUCACUCCUUUUAAACAAGUAAUGGUACUGUCAAAAUUGAAAGAUGGACAAGUUCAUUAUAGAAAUUUGGCAGGGUAAGGGUUAAGGUUAUAUAUAACUCAUGUCUGAUUCUUGCAAAAUAAAGCCACAAUUCUUGAGAAAUGCUUCUACAGAUUAGGUGUCACUGGAUGAAACAGUAAAUAUGCUGUUGACACUUAUGCUGAAUUUAUUUGCAUUGAUUUUAUUUUGCAUUUGCAUUUUAAUUCUUGAUAUUGAUAGUAUCUCAAGGAGUUUUGUACUGUACAAUGAAUUUGAUUUGAUAAGGUUCAAAUUUAUUUAAAUAUUCAGUAAGUCUGAAUGGUUUCUAACUCUUUGUAUUUUGUAAAAGUUAUCAUGUAAAUUGUGAUAAUAUCUCUUCAAAAAAUAAAAUAUCUCUUACAA
This is a long non-coding RNA of Mercenaria mercenaria, 11381 nucleotides long. RefSeq lists it as uncharacterized. The record is from RefSeq and is a predicted model, not a curated record. NCBI's taxonomy places the organism in Eukaryota, Metazoa, Mollusca, Bivalvia, Venerida, Veneridae. The transcript is spliced from 2 exons.